This is a long non-coding RNA of Panicum hallii, 497 nucleotides long. RefSeq lists it as uncharacterized. Lineage: Eukaryota; Viridiplantae; Streptophyta; Magnoliopsida; Poales; Poaceae. The transcript has 3 exons. The record is from RefSeq and is a predicted model, not a curated record.
GCAACCGGGAGCAGAACAUCGCGGAUGCCAUCGACCUUCUCCCGCGCCUCACGACAAGUAUUGACAUGACUAUUAUGUUCAGGAAGAUUGAUGACUUUGAGUUCACCCGAGAGCGUGCCAUAUUUGAUCUUCUGGAUAUCCCACUAUACCAUGGAUGGAUAGUGGACCCUCAACUGCACCAUCUAAAUUUCGAUUUACAACGUCCAAUAACUGUUCUGAUCUUUCUCUUGUCCUUUGGUGGUUGUUUCUCUCUGCACGAUUAGCAAUCAGCUAAGCCUGUUCAAUAAGGCACAGGUACGUAAAAAUGAAGAUAAUUGCCAAGUGGAUCAGAAAUCUGAACCAAUAUGUUUGGAUGAACUUGAUCCUAUCAUUUGCCCUGAUGCAGGUCAGCUCUUACCUUUGUUUCUUCUCUAAUGGGCUUCAUUGUGUACCGAGUUACUAACUUCGUUGAGGUUUUAGUAACUUGCUUUAUUUGAUGAUUAUUGGAUGAUGUAUUU